RNAcentral lists this ribosomal RNA (292 nucleotides) under uncultured bacterium. RNAcentral's name for it is "partial 16S ribosomal RNA". It matches the Rfam family "Bacterial small subunit ribosomal RNA", at positions 505 to 796 of the family's 1533-position model. The record is from RNAcentral.
GUGUCAGCAGCCGCGGUAAAACGUAGGUGACGAGCGUUAUCCGGAUUUACUGGGCGUAAAGCGUGUGCAGGCGGGAUGGUAAGUGGUGUAUGAAAGCUCCGGGCUCAACUCGGAGAGGUUAUGCCAGACUGCCAACCUAGAGGUAGCAAGAGGGACAUGGAAUUCCGGGUGUAGUGGUGAAAUGCGUAGAGAUCCGGAGGAACUCCAGAGGCGAAGGCGGUGUCCUGGUGCUGACCUGACGCUCAGACACGAAAGCAUGGGGAGCGAACGGGAUUAGAUACCCGCGUAGUCC